UGGAAAUUAAAACUCUCGAAAGAUAAGGUUUGAUGGGUUUCUCAGUUGAUAAACAUGCUAGGAGAGUGGCACAUCCCAAUCUCAAGCGGAUGGAAGCUCCCCUGUCCUUGGGACCCUUCCAGACCUUGCCCUAUGGACCUUUACAUCUGGCUAUUCAUCUGUAUCCUUUACAGUAUCCUUUAUAACAAACUAGUAAACAUAAUCGGAGCUGCCAUCCCAGAGGAACUGACGCACAAGACUUACUCCCCAAACCUUUGGAAUGUUAAAACAAGACACAGUAACCUUUGGUCACGGCCUGCAGCAGCACUGUAUCCCAAAUAAGUGCUUGUAAAGAAGAAAAAAGCAGUCCGGAUCCUCAGAGCAACCUCUUCUUGUUCCUGACUUCUUGAACAGUAGCCCUGAUGUUCAGCUGCUUUUUCCCAUCUUUCCUUGGACUCUUAAAAUAUGGAUGAGUCCGUAGUCCUUUAAAGCGCACCAAUUUAUGAGAUACAUUGAAGCUGCUCAAGAAAAGAAACCGUCUGAACCUGGAACAACCAAAAGAAAUAAGAAUUGAAAGAAGGCAAGCAUAAGAGAAGCCAGGUGAUGGCUUUUGAACCUCUUCUCUGUACUUUUUCAGCCUUUUUUUUUUUUUUUUGGAUCCUGGACAUUUUGCUGUAUUCUAUAAAGAGUAUUGAAGUUUCUUUGAAAGAUAUUCAAGUUACUUGUGGAUCAGCUUGAUUCCAUUGAGGUUUGUUUUUAAGCUCCUUUAGAGCAAUGUUACACUAUGGUGGUUUACAUGUAUCAACAAGCUGUUACGCUUCUGGAGUAUGUACUGAGACCUUGAGUCUUCAACAGGAUUUCUACACAACAGCUGAUCAGAAUUCAAAUAUCACCAAAUCUCAUUUGGGUUCUGAGAGUCAUUCAGUUUAUAUUUCCCUGGAAAUUGUUCUUUGCUGACAUCAUAUCUUAUGUGUACCACAUGAUCCAGCUGCCUCAAUUUUCCUGAAUGCUAACUUUUGUCUCUUCGGCUCUGUCAGACUUCAGUGCUUUUUUUUGGAUGCUUUCUACUUACAUUGUGGUCCAAGAAAACACUUCCUGGAAAAAGUCAAGUCACCUAUAAAGCUUAGACUCUUUUCUGUUUUUCAGAGAUCGUGGUCUUGUCAUACCUGUUUUCCAAUGUCUAAAAACUGUCAUUUGUCUUAUUUUGUUUAAUUUUCUAGUUGUUUACAUUUGCGAGUGCAGUGUCAUUUACUCUGUUGUGGCCCCAGAUCCUCUUUCCAUAAACAAGCAUUGAAGAAAAUUCUCAAUUUCCUAUUAUAUUAGAGUAAAAUAGGUCCUUCGAAUGGUUAAGAUUCAGGCUGACAUUCAUGGCAUUGUAUAUUUAGAAGCAUUUUGAAGGAUUUUGAAUUUUAUUUUAAAAUUGUACUACAUACAUCAUUUUGAAAUUAUAGUAGUGCGAUUUAAAAAUAUAUUCUAAGUGUCACACUUUAAAUCAAUAUUUUUCAAAUAUUGUAUACAAAAAAUUUAUUCCAGUGGGUAAGGGAUUCAAGUUCAAGAGUCCGCAUGUUUAAUAAAUAUCUGAAUGACUCUGAUACAGGUUUCCAAAGCAUGCAUUUUGUGAAAAGCUGUUCUAAACCUUUCAACAGUCUAAAAGCUUACCUUUGACUCCCUAUCUUACUUACCUCCUUUACUCUACUCCUGAAAAAAAGGCACAUAUCAAGGCACACAAAGCCAAAUGAUUUGAUCAAGGUACUAGGCAAAUACAGGAGGCAGUAAGAGUGAUAAUCACAAGUGUACAUUCUCAGUCAGAUUGUCUAGGUUUGAAUUCAGGCUUUCCCAUUAUUAGCUGUAUCAAAGUGCAUAGAUAAUGUAAUCCUUCUGAACCUUUCUCAUCUGUAAAAUAGGCAUAAGAAUAGCAUCGGACUGUAAUGAAGCUCAGUUACAUAAAUUAUGUGUAAGAUAUGCUCUCUAACUGCAAUCAAGAGUGAACUAAUAAUCUCUGGUCUUAAUCAAGAGUGAACUAAUAAUCUCUAAGAGUGAACUAAUAAUCUCCAGAAAUCUUUUCUUAAUCCAAACAGGGCAAAAGAGCUCUCUUACUGCUUUGCACCUUGAGCAUAUAUCCAUAUGGCCACAGCAUUGGUGCACCUGUGCAUGUGAAAGGGACUUCUUAGAAUGCUGUGACACAAUACUCACACCAACAGAUGAAUGAAUGAAGAUUAUAUGAAAACAUGGAAGCCUCAUACCCUCUUGCUGUUCCAGCUGCUGCUUUUUUUCUCUCCUCCAAGACCUUGUCCUUUUCCUCCUUCAUCUUCUUUUUUGAUGUGUUUUAGCAAACUUCGUUUUGCAUUCCUAACCUCUCUUUCUAGGCACAGGUUUUGAGCAAUAGAUUUUAUAGGGCUUUCUAAAUUCUUCCAAGCUCAAGAGGAUGAUUUACAUAUCAGGGAAACCUGAGACUAAUGUCUCUACUUUGAAUGUUCCACUAGGGUGAGGAGGAAAGGUCAUCUUAGGGCAUUCUCUCAGAGUUACAUUUACACCAAGAUAUGAACCUGUAGAAGGACAGAACAAGAAUUUGUACUGUUCAUUGUUACAUUCCCACAUUCCUGGCACCCAGUAACCAUUCAAUAAAUACUUGAUGGGUAAAAUUUACAUCUCUCACUGUGCCAUUAACACUUUCUUGAAUCUCUCUCUUUUCAGUAUCCUACAAUGCCGGCCUUUGUAGUGCUUAUCAGUGUAAUUUAAAGUGUCCAGAGUCAAAAUUUGCUCUUACUUUGAUGUUUCAAAAUUUACCAUUAUUAAUCCAUCCCUGUUAUAGACUCAAUGUUUGUGUCCCUCUAAAAUUCAUGUGUUGAAACCUAAUCCCCGAUGUGGUAUUUGGAACUGGGGGCUUUGGGAGGUGAUAAAUGAGCAUGGAGCCCUUCGUGAAUGAGAUUUGUGUCUUUAUCAAAGACAUCCCAAAUAGCUCUAUUGCCCCUUCUGCCCUCUGAGAAUACAGAGAGAAGAUGACAGCCAUUCAUGAACCAGAAAGUGGGCUCUCAACAGAUAGUGGUUCUGUCGGAAACUUGAUUUUGCACUUCCCAGCCUCAGAACUGUGAGAAAUAAAUUUAUGUUAUUUAUAAGCCA
Molecule: long non-coding RNA, 3099 nt
Organism: Pteropus alecto (black flying fox)
Lineage: Eukaryota; Metazoa; Chordata; Mammalia; Chiroptera; Pteropodidae
Exons: 6
Source: RefSeq, a predicted model, not a curated record